AAAGACUUGACGGUACUUCACAACAACCUAGAGGAGCCUGUCCAAUAACCGAUACCCCACGAUUAACCCAACCUACCCUAGCCCAUCAGUCUAUAUACCGCCGUCACCAGCUUACCCUGUGAAAGAAAUAAAGUAAGCCCAAUUAGGCCACCCCUAACACGACAGGUCGAGGUGUAACCCAUGAGUAGGCAAAAGAUGGGCUACAUUUUCUUCUAAACAGAAAACACGAACAAACUAUGAAACUAGAAACUGAAGGCGGAUUUAGCAGUAUAUUAAGGACAAAAUACUUA
This 290-nucleotide ribosomal RNA is filed under the name Atractus torquatus. Its description in RNAcentral is "partial small subunit ribosomal RNA". The record is from RNAcentral. Lineage: Eukaryota; Metazoa; Chordata; Lepidosauria; Squamata; Dipsadidae.